UACAGAGGGUGCAAACGUUGCUCGGAAUUAUUGGGCGUAAAGCGCGUGUAGGCGGCCCUGCAAGUCGGAUGUGAAAUCCCACGGCUCAACCGUGGAAGUGCAUUCGAAACUGCAGGGCUAGAGUCCUGGAGAGGAAGGUGGAAUGCUUGGUGUAGAGGUGAAAUUCGUAGAUAUUGGGAAGAACACCAGUGGCGAAGGCGGCUCACUGGCCCGAUACUGACGCUGAGGCACGAAAGCGUGGGGAGCAAACAGG
RNAcentral lists this ribosomal RNA (253 nucleotides) under uncultured bacterium. Its description in RNAcentral is "partial 16S ribosomal RNA". It matches the Rfam family "Bacterial small subunit ribosomal RNA", at positions 524 to 776 of the family's 1533-position model. The record is from RNAcentral.